AACGAACGCUGGCGGCAUGCCUAACACAUGCAAGUCGAACGAGACCUUCGGGUCUAGUGGCGCACGGGUGCGUAACGCGUGGGAACCUGCCCUUAGGUUCGGAAUAACUCCCCGAAAGGGGUGCUAAUACCGGAUAAUGUCUUCGGACCAAAGAUUUAUCGCCCUUGGAUGGGCCCGCGUUGUAUUAGCUAGUUGGUAGGGUAAAAGCCUACCAAGGCGACGAUCCAUAGCUGGUCUGAGAGGAAGAUCAGCCACACUGGGACUGAGACACGGCCCAGAAUCCUACGGGAGGCAGGAGUGGGGGAUAUUGGACAAUGGGCGAAAGCCUGAUCCAGCAAUGCCGGGUGAGUGAUGAAGGCCUUAGGGUUGUAAAGCUCGUUUACCCGGGAUGAUAAUGACAGUACCGGGAGAAUAAGCACCGGCUAACUCCGUG
This 433-nucleotide ribosomal RNA is filed under the name uncultured bacterium. RNAcentral's name for it is "partial 16S ribosomal RNA". It matches the Rfam family "Bacterial small subunit ribosomal RNA", at positions 29 to 507 of the family's 1533-position model. The record is from RNAcentral.